GACGAACGCUGGCGGCGCGCUUAACACAUGCAAGUCGAACGGAAAGGCCUGCUUUCCCUUGUGGAUUGCGGGUACUCGAGUGGCGAACGGGUGAGUAACACGUGAGUGAUCUGCCCCCAACUUGGGUAUAAGCCUGGGAAACUGGGUCUAAUUCCCGAUAGGACUGCAGGGUGGUGCCUGUGGUGGAAAACGAUUUUCUAGUGGUUGGGGAUGAGCUCGCGGCCUAUCAGCUUGUUGGUGGGGUAAUGGCCUACCAAGGCGGCGACGGGUAGCCGGCCUGAGAGAGUGGACGGCCACAUUGGGACUGAGAUACGGCCCAGACUCCUACGGGAGGCAGCAGUGGGGAAUAUUGCACAAUGGGCGGAAGCCUGAUGCAGCGACGCCGCGUGGGGGAUGACGGCCUUCGGGUUGUAAACUCCUUUCGACCGCGAGGAAGCCACCUGGUUGGAAGGGUGGUGACGGUAGUGGUAGAAGAAGCACCGGCUAACUACGUG
This 494-nucleotide ribosomal RNA is filed under the name uncultured bacterium. RNAcentral's name for it is "partial 16S ribosomal RNA". It matches the Rfam family "Bacterial small subunit ribosomal RNA", at positions 28 to 507 of the family's 1533-position model. The record is from RNAcentral.